Molecule: long non-coding RNA, 662 nt
Organism: Rosa rugosa (rugosa rose)
Lineage: Eukaryota; Viridiplantae; Streptophyta; Magnoliopsida; Rosales; Rosaceae
Exons: 2
Source: RefSeq, a predicted model, not a curated record
GUCCCAGGCGUCUCGACCCGCGAAAGAGACCGGCGACCCAGUCGGAACUCCUCCGUCCGACCACAUCUCGGCGACGGACCACCGGCGUUAGCUUCGCCUAGACCACGCCGACGUGCCUCUGGCCACGGAUCGUCCACGCACAGACCCUGGAGAGAGAUUCGAAGCUCAGAAGCUCGAAGCUUUACCGACGAUUUCUGAAUUUUCCGGCUACUCCGACCACCGUUUGGGUUGUCCGAGCUCUUCUGGGUUCAUUUUCCGUCUUGCCUGCACCUGUAGACGUGUCAACCUCGACUAUAGCUGAAUUUUUGAAGCUGCUGGGUUGGUGUACUCCGGCUCCUCCGUUUGUUCAUCGUCAAAAUUCCGGGAAGUACCGUGUUUUGAAAUUGAGCGUAGGUGAGCUACGUUAUCUAUCUUUAGCCUUGGAGAAUUGUGGUUGCUGUUGCAGGAUGGGUUUUGUUUGAAAUUGUGCGAAUAAUGUUGUGUUGUAUGCAUGGAGUUUUGGUUGGGAAGUAAAGAACAACAGGAAGAAGUUAUUGGAGAGGUGAAAGUGCAAAAAUUAAGAAAAUGGUUAUUAAUCGGAAUUGAAGUAGUGAAUUGGUUUGCAAUGCUUUUGGUUGAUGAAUGAAAUUGUCGAUGGUAUUAGUAUCGGGUUUUGGUACAAA